GGCUCGUUAGCUCAGUUGGUUAGAGCGUCGUGCUAAUAACGCGAAGGUCGUGGGUUCGAUCCCCCUACGGGCCA
Molecule: transfer RNA, 74 nt
Filed under: Helobdella robusta
Lineage: Eukaryota; Metazoa; Annelida; Clitellata; Rhynchobdellida; Glossiphoniidae
Description: tRNA-Ile for anticodon AAU
Rfam family: tRNA
About the family: Transfer RNA (tRNA) molecules are approximately 80 nucleotides in length. Their secondary structure includes four short double-helical elements and three loops (D, anti-codon, and T loops).
Source: Rfam by way of RNAcentral